UACGUAGGGUGCGAGCGUUGUCCGGAAUUACUGGGCGUAAAGAGCUCGUAGGUGGUUUGUCGCGUCGUCUGUGAAAUUCCGGGGCUUAACCUCGGGCGUGCAGGCGAUACGGGCAAUACUUGAGUGCUGUAGGGGAGACUGGAAUUCCUGGUGUAGCGGUGAAAUGCGCAGAUAUCAGGAGGAACACCGAUGGCGAAGGCAGGCCUCUGGGCAGUAACUGACGCUGAGGAGCGAAAGCAUGGGUAGCGAACAGGAUUAGA
This 260-nucleotide ribosomal RNA is filed under the name uncultured prokaryote. RNAcentral's name for it is "partial 16S ribosomal RNA". It matches the Rfam family "Bacterial small subunit ribosomal RNA", at positions 524 to 782 of the family's 1533-position model. The record is from RNAcentral.